UCGGGAGGCAGCAGUGGGGAAUAUUGCGCAAUGGGCGAAAGCCUGACGCAGCAACGCCGCGUGUGGGAUGAUGGCCUUCGGGUUGUAAACCGCUUUCGCCUGUGACGAAGCGUGAGUGACGGUAAUGGGUAAAGAAGCACCGGCUAACUACGUGCCAGCAGCCGCGGUGAUGCGUANGGUGCGAGCGUUGUCCGGAUUUAUUGGGCGUAAAAGGGCUCGUAGGUGGNUGAUCGCGUCGGAAGUGUAAUCUUGGGGGCUUAACCCUGAGCGUGCUUUCGAUACGGG
Molecule: ribosomal RNA, 285 nt
Filed under: uncultured bacterium
Lineage: Bacteria
Description: partial 16S ribosomal RNA
Rfam family: Bacterial small subunit ribosomal RNA
Source: RNAcentral